AAUGAACGCUGGCGGCGUGCUUAACACAUGCAAGUCGAACGAGAAAGGGAUUGCUUGCAAUCCUGAGUAGAGUGGCGCACGGGUGAGUAACACGUAGAUAAUCUACCUUCAAAGCUGGGAUAACUAUUCGAAAGGAUAGCUAAUACCGGAUAAAGUGUUUUAGCAUAAGUUAAAACAUGAAAGAUUGCCUCUUCUUGAAAGCAAUUGAUUGGAGAUGAGUUUGCGGACCAUUAGUUUGUUGGUGGGGUAAAGGCCUACCAAGACUACGAUGGUUAGCUGGUCUGAGAGGAUGAUCAGCCACACUGGAACUGGUACACGGUCCAGACUCCUACGGGAGGCAGCAGUGAGGAAUUUUGCGCAAUGGGGGCAACCCUGACGCAGCAACGCCGCGUGAGUGAAGAAGGCCUUUGGGUCGUAAAGCUCUGUCGACAGGGAAGAAAUUAUAAUCAUCCAAUAGGUGGUUAUAUUGACGGUACCUGUAGAGGAAGCACCGGCUAACUCCGUGCCAGCAGCCGCGGUAAUACGGGGGGUGCAAGCGUUAUUCGGAAUUAUUGGGCGUAAAGGGCGCGUAG
RNAcentral lists this ribosomal RNA (572 nucleotides) under uncultured Desulfobacula sp. RNAcentral describes it as "bacterial SSU rRNA". It matches the Rfam family "Bacterial small subunit ribosomal RNA", at positions 28 to 574 of the family's 1533-position model. Lineage: Bacteria; Pseudomonadati; Thermodesulfobacteriota; Desulfobacteria; Desulfobacterales; Desulfobacteraceae. The record is from RNAcentral.